This 459-nucleotide ribosomal RNA is filed under the name uncultured bacterium. RNAcentral's name for it is "partial 16S ribosomal RNA". It matches the Rfam family "Bacterial small subunit ribosomal RNA", at positions 338 to 795 of the family's 1533-position model. The record is from RNAcentral.
CCUACGGGAGGCAGCAGUGAGGAAUAUUGGUCAAUGGGCGGGAGCCUGAACCAGCCAAGCCGCGUGAGGGAAGAAGGUACAGCGUAUCGUAAACCUCUUUUGUCAGGGAACAAAGGCGGGGACUUGUCCCCGGAUGAGGGUACCUGAAGAAAAAGCAUCGGCUAACUCCGUGCCAGCAGCCGCGGUAAUACGGAGGAUGCGAGCGUUAUCCGGAUUUAUUGGGUUUAAAGGGUGCGCAGGGGGGCUGUUAAGUCAGUGGUAAAAGCUCGGGGCUCAACCCCAGAGAGCCGUUGAAACUGGCAGGCUGGAGUAGAGGUGAGGUACGCGGAAUGCGCGGUGUAGCGGUGAAAUGCUUAGAUAGCACGAAGAACUCCGAUUGCGAAGGCAGCUUACGAGAUCGACACUGACGCUGAGGCACGAAAGCGUGGGUAUCGAACAGGAUUAGAUACCCCAGUAGUC